GCUUGCUGCCUCCGACUCCUGGGGGAGAAGAACGCAAACCCCACGCUGCGGGGAGGCCGCCUGCCCGGCCCCGGGACCCCCAACUCCACGCGCAGCUCCCAGAGGCGCGGUAGGGCGUGUAGGGGCGCAGGGCCCAGGAACGGCGGCAGCAGUCUCUUCCCAAUGUUGAGAGCAAAAAGUGUGAACCCAGAAAUUCCGAGAUCUCAAUUACUUGCCAAGGUUGACGACACGCGCGUGACAGACUCAGGAAGUCCUCACGACAUGUGCCCAAGGUGGUCGGGACACAGCUUAGUUUUAUACAUUUUAUGGAGACAUGAGACAUCAAUCAGUGUAUGUAAGAAGUACAUUGGUUCUGUCUGGAAAGGCGCGACAACUUGAAGCAAAGGCAGGAAGACCUGAAGCAGGGGGGGCUUCCAGGAAACUGAAGGUGAGGCACAAACUGUUGCAUUCUUUGGAGUUUCUGAUUAGCCUUUCCAAAGGAUGCAAUCAGGUAUGCAUCUAUGUCAGCCAGCAAAGGGGUGACUUUGAAUAGAAUGGGAGGAAGGUUGGCCCUAAGCAGUUCCCAGCUUGACUUUUACCUUUAGGGUAGUGAUUUGGGGGGCCCCAAGAUUUAUUUUCCUUUCACAAAAGCCAUGGAGUGGAUACAGGAGACCCUCCUCUAUUGUAGGCUUGUUGGAGCUUGAAAUCCUUGGAGCUUCUAGAUGGCGGAAGCAACCAGGAGAGUAGGGUAAGGUUGAGAAGGUCAGAGGGUCCUCUCUUCUAGGAGUUUCUCCCAUGUGCUGUGCAGGACGCCUCCCGACCGCCGGUUUCCCUCUAGCUGCAGCCAGGCUCUCGGCUCCCCUCAGGUCCUGCCCCUAGGCGGAUGGCCGAAGACUCCUCCGCUCAAAACCAGCUCAUCCCUUUCUUACCCCAACCUGCUUCCCCUGGGAUCUUUAUGUCAGUAAAUGUCCCCAGCUCUCCCACCAGACCUCCGUCUCACACUUCCUGAUGGCCUACUCUGUGCUCCACCUGACUUCAUACGUGUCCUGUGUACUGGAGUCAGAGUAAUCUCCAAGGCGCCUUUUAGCUCUUAGUGGGCUCUUUAGUUGAAUCUAGGCCUAGAUUGAGAAUCGUCUGUAAUCCUAUCUACUGGGAGGUCGAGGCAUGAGCAUCUCUUGAGUCCAAGAGAGUGAGAUCCGCCUGCUCAACUUAGGAGACCCUGUCUCAAAAAUAAAUAAGAAAAAAGGAAAGAA
Chlorocebus sabaeus (green monkey) is the source of this 1232-nucleotide long non-coding RNA. RefSeq lists it as uncharacterized. The record is from RefSeq and is a predicted model, not a curated record. Lineage: Eukaryota; Metazoa; Chordata; Mammalia; Primates; Cercopithecidae.